Molecule: non-coding RNA, 947 nt
Filed under: Desmodema polystictum (polka-dot ribbonfish)
Lineage: Eukaryota; Metazoa; Chordata; Actinopteri; Lampriformes; Trachipteridae
Description: 12S rRNA
Rfam family: Bacterial small subunit ribosomal RNA
Source: RNAcentral
CAGAGGCUUGGUCCUGACUUUACUAUUGGCUUUGAUUAAACUUACACAUGCAAGUGUCAGCACACCUGUGAGAAUGCCCUCAAACCCUACCCGGGUCUAAGGAGCUGGCAUCAGGCACGAACUUUCAGCCCACGACGCCUUGCAUAGCCACACCCCUAAGGGUACUCAGCAGUGAUAAACAUUAAGCCAUAAGUGUAAACUUGACUUAAUUAAGAUCUUUAGGGCCGGUAAAACUCGUGCCAGCCACCGCGGUUAUACGAGAGGCCCAAGUCAAUAGUCCCCGGCGUAAAGGGUGGUUAGGAUUACCUUUAAACUAAAGCCCCACAUUUCCAAAGCUGUUAUACGCACCCGGAAAAUGGAUGACCCCCUACGAAAGUGGCUUUAAAAACACUGAACCCACGAAAGCUACAAAACAAACUGGGAUUAGAUACCCCACUAUGUGUAGCUGUAAACUUUGAUAGAAACCUACAUUCUCUAUCCGCCCGGGUACUACGAGCGUUAGCUUAAAACCCAAAGGACUUGGCGGUGCCUCAGACCCCCCUAGAGGAGCCUGUUCUAGAACCGAUACCCCCCGUUUAACCUUCCCACCUCUUGUCCAUCCCGCCUAUAUACCGCCGCCGUCAGCUUACCCUGUGAAGGGUUAACAGUAAGCAAAAAUGGCACAGCCUAAAACGUCAGGUCGAGGUGUAGCGUAUGAGAUGGUAGAAAUGGGCUACAUUCUCUAAUUUAGAGUACUACGGAAAGGAAGUUGAAAUACUUCCUCAAAGGAGGAUUUAGCAGUAAGUAGGGAAAUAGAGUGUCCCACUGAAACCGGCUCUGAGGCGCGCACAUACCGCCCGUCGCUCUCCCCUAAUGUUUAUUUGAAAAUAUAAGUAAAUCAACAUAACUAACGAAGAGGAGAUAAGUCGUAACAUGGUAAGUGUACCGGAAGGUGCACUUGGAAUAAU